UUAUACAUGCCCUACAAGCAAGUAGGAGUCAGGUUUUAAACCUAAUGGCUCUUUCAUGAUUAUAUGAUAGGUGGUGCAUGGCCGUUCUUAGUUCGUGGAGUUAUCUGUCUGCUUAAUUGCGUUUCAAAUUUUUAACCGAGGACCGGGUUUUGGUUUGGCUAGUGGUCCUACGAUGACUGUGAACUGUCAUGUCUUCGGAUGUACGACUAUCGGUCUAGGAUCACAUGACUUGCCCCUGGGACUCUUUUGAACGCAACGGACGUGAUUGUAACCCCUUGUUGAGAUUAGAGAUAGUCUCGAUAUUCACUGGCCAAAGUGGCUGCUUUAUGCAGUCUUGUUGAAUGGUGGAUAAACUCGGGGGACUGCUGACUAU
This 373-nucleotide ribosomal RNA is filed under the name Globigerinoides ruber albus. Its description in RNAcentral is "partial small subunit ribosomal RNA". The record is from RNAcentral. Lineage: Eukaryota; Foraminifera; Rotaliida; Globigerinidae.